Molecule: ribosomal RNA, 253 nt
Filed under: uncultured bacterium
Lineage: Bacteria
Description: partial 16S ribosomal RNA
Rfam family: Bacterial small subunit ribosomal RNA
Source: RNAcentral
UACGUAGGGGGCUAGCGUUGUCCGGAUUUAUUGGGCGUAAAGAGCGUGUAGGCGGCCAGGUAGGUCUGCUGUGAAAACUCGAGGCUCAACCUCGAGACGUCGGCGGAAACCAUCUGGCUAGAGUCCGGAAGAGGAGAGUGGAAUUCCUGGUGUAGCGGUGAAAUGCGCAGAUAUCAGGAAGAACACCCGUGGCGAAGGCGGCUCUCUGGGACGGUACUGACGCUGAGACGCGAAAGCGUGGAGAGCGAACAGG